Molecule: ribosomal RNA, 528 nt
Filed under: Limosilactobacillus reuteri
Lineage: Bacteria; Bacillati; Bacillota; Bacilli; Lactobacillales; Lactobacillaceae
Description: bacterial SSU rRNA
Rfam family: Bacterial small subunit ribosomal RNA
Source: RNAcentral
UAGAGUUUGAUCCUGGCUCAGGAUGAACGCCGGCGGUGUGCCUAAUACAUGCAAGUCGUACGCACUGGCCCAACUGAUUGAUGGUGCUUGCACCUGAUUGACGAUGGAUCACCAGUGAGUGGCGGACGGGUGAGUAACACGUAGGUAACCUGCCCCGGAGCGGGGGAUAACAUUUGGAAACAGAUGCUAAUACCGCAUAACAACAAAAGCCACAUGGCUUUUGUUUGAAAGAUGGCUUUGGCUAUCACUCUGGGAUGGACCUGCGGUGCAUUAGCUAGUUGGUAAGGUAACGGCUUACCAAGGCGAUGAUGCAUAGCCGAGUUGAGAGACUGAUCGGCCACAAUGGAACUGAGACACGGUCCAUACUCCUACGGGAGGCAGCAGUAGGGAAUCUUCCACAAUGGGCGCAAGCCUGAUGGAGCAACACCGCGUGAGUGAAGAAGGGUUUCGGCUCGUAAAGCUCUGUUGUUGGAGAAGAACGUGCGUGAGAGUAACUGUUCACGCAGUGACGUAUCCACCGAAUGCGAU